UUGUCCGGAUUUACUGGGUGUAAAGGGUGCGUAGGCGGCUUUGCAAGUCAGAUGUGAAAUCUAUGGGCUCAGCCCAUAGCCUGCAUUUGAAACUGCAGAGCUUGAGUGAAGUAGAGGCAGGCGGAAUUCCCCGUGUAGCGGUGAAAUGCGUAGAGAUGGGGAGGAACACCAGUGGCGAAGGCGGCCUGCUGGGCUUUAACUGAUGCUGAGGCACGAAAGCGUGGGUAGCAAACAGGAUUAGAUACCCUGGUAGUCCACGCUGUAAACGAUGAUUACUAGGUGUGGGGGG
Molecule: ribosomal RNA, 289 nt
Filed under: uncultured bacterium
Lineage: Bacteria
Description: partial 16S ribosomal RNA
Rfam family: Bacterial small subunit ribosomal RNA
Source: RNAcentral